Molecule: ribosomal RNA, 253 nt
Filed under: uncultured bacterium
Lineage: Bacteria
Description: partial 16S ribosomal RNA
Rfam family: Bacterial small subunit ribosomal RNA
Source: RNAcentral
UACGUAGGGGGCAAGCGUUGUCCGGAAUCAUUGGGCGUAAAGCGCGUGUAGGCGGCCCGGUAAGUCCGCUGUGAAAGUCGGGGGCUCAACCCUCGAAUGCCGGUGGAUACUGUCGGGCUAGAGUGCGGAAGAGGCGAGUGGAAUUCCUGGUGUAGCGGUGAAAUGCGCAGAUAUCAGGAGGAACACCAAUUGCGAAGGCAGCUCGCUGGGACGUGACUGACGCUGAGGCGCGAAAGCGUGGGUAGCAAACGGG